Molecule: ribosomal RNA, 562 nt
Filed under: Cleptria corallina
Lineage: Eukaryota; Metazoa; Arthropoda; Insecta; Hemiptera; Reduviidae
Description: partial 16S ribosomal RNA
Rfam family: Bacterial large subunit ribosomal RNA
Source: RNAcentral
CGCCUGUUUAUCAAAAACAUGUCCUUUUGUUUAAUUUAAUGUAUUUAAGGUCUGGUCUGCCCAAUGAUUUAAUUAUUUAAUGGCCGCAGUAUUUUAACUGUGCUAAGGUAGCAUAAUCAUUUGUCUUUUAAUUGAGGGCUUGUAUGAAUGGCUUGACGAAUCAUUAUCUUUCUUUUGAUUAAUAUAUGAAUUUAAUUUUUUUGUUAAAAAGCUAAAGAUUUUUUUAUGGGACGAGAAGACCCUAUAGAGUUUAAUAUUUAUAUUUAUUAAUUUUUUUAGUUUAUUUUUUAUUUAAUUAAUUGUGUAUUUCGUUGGGGUGAUGUUUAAAUUUUAAUAACUUUUAUUUUUAUGUUUUCAUUUUUUUAUGUUUUUUUGAUCCAUUGUUUAUGAUUAUAAGAUUAAAUUACCUUAGGGAUAACAGCGUAAUUUCUUUGGAGAGUUCUUAUUGAUAAGGAAGUUUGCGACCUCGAUGUUGGAUUAAAAUAAGUUUUGGGUGUAGUAGUUUAAUUUACUAGGUCUGUUCGACCUUUAAUUUUUUACAUGAUCUGAGUUCAAACCGGAG